Molecule: ribosomal RNA, 201 nt
Filed under: uncultured Alicyclobacillus sp.
Lineage: Bacteria; Bacillati; Bacillota; Bacilli; Caryophanales; Alicyclobacillaceae
Description: partial 16S ribosomal RNA
Rfam family: Bacterial small subunit ribosomal RNA
Source: RNAcentral
UACUCCUACGGGGAGGCAGCAGUAGGGAAUCUUCGGCAAUGGGCGCAAGCCUGACCGAGCAACGCCGCGUGAGCGAAGAAGGCCUUCGGGUUGUAAAGCUCAGUCACUCGGGAAGAGCGACCUAAGGAGUGGAAAGCCUUAGGGGAGACGGUACCGAGGGAGGAAGCCCCGGCUAACUACGUGCCAGCAGCCGCGGUAAUA